This is a long non-coding RNA of Chenopodium quinoa (quinoa), 1000 nucleotides long. RefSeq lists it as uncharacterized. Lineage: Eukaryota; Viridiplantae; Streptophyta; Magnoliopsida; Caryophyllales; Amaranthaceae. The transcript has 3 exons. The record is from RefSeq and is a predicted model, not a curated record.
AUAAGUAACACUUUUGAAACAUUUUGACAUUAUGUAACAUGUGAUUGUAACACUUUGAUAUUAAGUAUCACUUUAUUCAGAUUUUUUGUAACACUUUGAUAUCAACCCUUGAAAAACUCGAAUUACAUCUUUUCCCUUUCUUAUGACUCUUGUUUUCUAUCUUAUUCACUCACAUCCAUAACCACAUUCCUCGUCUUACCUCUUUCGCUCUCAGUAGUCUAAUUUCAAUUUUAAUGGUAACCAUAACUGCGAUUUCAUCUCCUUAUCUUACCUCUCCUUCUUUCUUCUCAGAGGCGAAAUACCUAGGUAUUUUUAAAGGUACAUCAAUAGUGUGCUUAUUAAUGGGUGAAGGAGAGACUCUUCGCAUUUUUGCUAGAAAUUACCAGCUUAUACGAGUAUAAUAGUUUUUACGGCUUCUAGGCGUUCUUUCCUUCAUUGAAACGACAUCUGAGAUAAGGGAAUUAUAAAAGAGAUUCAAACUUAAUCUGGAGAGAAGAUGAGAAUUAUACUAGCUGUGUGGAGUCAAGAUGUAAAAUUGGUUGCUAUGCUUUCUGUUGCUGACUGCUGCUACUAGUAUUUGCUGCCACUGCUCUGUUUUUUGCUGCCGCUACUAUCUGCUAUUGUUGUUUGCUGCCGCUACUAUCUGCAACUGUUGUUUGCUGCCACAGCUCUGCUGUUUGCUACCACUUCUAUCUGCUAUUAUUGUUUGCUGCUACAUACGGCUGUCUGCUGAUAUUGAGGUCUGAUCUGUAGCUGUUGUUACUGUUGCGGCCGUUCUGCUAGCUAGUUGUUGCAUGCUAUCACACUGCUACCGCGUUGACUAUUUUUGAAUUUGGAGCUUUUUAUUAAUUUCCUUACUUUUUCUAAUCUAGAGUCCGAAACUAACUUUCUUUUUGUUUUGAUUAUUAUAUUGUUUUGCCAAACAUAAAAAUUGGUGUUUAUGGAUGUUUUUUUUUUGUAAGAAUUAUGAAAUUAUAUAAAUUCAAAUUAUUGUCUAUCA